UCCACGCCGUAAACGAUGGGCACUAGGUGUUGCGGGUAACCACUCCUGCAGUGCCGAAGCUAACGCAUUAAGUGCCCCGCCUGGGGAGUACGGCCGCAAGGCUAAAACUCAAAGGAGUUGACGGGGGCCCGCACAAGCGGUGGAGCAUGUGGUUUAAUUCGACGCAACGCGAAGAACCUUACCUGGAUUUGACAUCCCGAUCGUACCCCUUGGAAACUUGGGGGUCAGCUUGG
This 233-nucleotide ribosomal RNA is filed under the name uncultured bacterium. Its description in RNAcentral is "partial 16S ribosomal RNA". It matches the Rfam family "Bacterial small subunit ribosomal RNA", at positions 794 to 1022 of the family's 1533-position model. The record is from RNAcentral.